ACUGGAAUGAACGGCUACAUGAAGACUUUACUGUCUCUUGCCGYUAGUCAAUGAAACUGAUCUCCCAGUACAAAAGCUGGAAUAAUCUCAUAAGACAAAAAGACCCUGUGGAGCUUUUAAACCAAGUACACCAAAAUGUUCUAUCACGGUUUUUAGUUGGGGCGACUUCGGAACAAAAUAAAACUUCCGAAACCAUGGAAUCAUACCCAUAUUUAAGGCCAACACGCCAAGAUUAGUCAUCUACUUGACCCAGUUUAUCACAUACUGAUCAAUGAACCAAGUUACCCCAGGGAUAACAGCGCCAUCYYCUUUUAGAGUCCAUAUCGACAAGAAGGUUUACGACCUCGAUGUUGGAUCAGGACACCCAAAUAGUGCAGCCGCUAUUAAAG
RNAcentral lists this ribosomal RNA (389 nucleotides) under Psammodromus algirus. RNAcentral's name for it is "partial 16S ribosomal RNA". It matches the Rfam family "Bacterial large subunit ribosomal RNA", at positions 1986 to 2570 of the family's 2925-position model. Lineage: Eukaryota; Metazoa; Chordata; Lepidosauria; Squamata; Lacertidae. The record is from RNAcentral.